CUUGGUCAUUUAGAGGAAGUAAAAGUCGUAACAAGGUUUCCGUAGGUGAACCUGCGGAAGGAUCAUUCAUAAUAAGUGUUUUAUGGCACUUUUUUAAAUCCAUAUCCACCUUGUGUGCAAUGUCAGGGUUGGUCUCUUGAAAAAGAGAUCAGCCCCAAACAUCAACCCAAUCUUAACUCUUUGUCUGAAAAAUAUUAUGAAUAAAACAAUUCAAAAUACAACUUUCAACAACGGAUCUCUUGGCUCUCGCAUCGAUGAAGAACGCAGCGAAAUGCGAUACGUAAUGUGAAUUGCAGAAUUCAGUGAAUCAUCGAAUCUUUGAACGCAUAUUGCGCUCUUUGGUAUUCCGAAGAGCAUGCUUGUUUGAGUAUCAGUAAACACCUCAAAGCCUUUUUUUGUUAAGAGGCCUUGGACUUGAGCAAUCCCAACACUUUUCCUCCAAGAAAAGUGGCGGGUUGCUUGAAAUGCAGGUGCAGCUGGACAUUCUCCUGAGCUAAAAGCAUAUUCAUUUAGUCCCGUCAAACGGAUUAUUACUUUUGCUGCAGCUAACAUAAAGGGAGUUUGACCAUUUUGGCUGACUGAUGCAGGAUUUUCACAAGAGUCUUCAAAAGCUUUUGUUAAACUCGAUCUCAAAUCAAGUAAGACUACCCGCUGAACUCAAGCAUAUCAAUAAGCGGAGGA
Molecule: ribosomal RNA, 681 nt
Filed under: uncultured Mortierella
Lineage: Eukaryota; Fungi; Mortierellomycota; Mortierellomycetes; Mortierellales; Mortierellaceae
Description: eukaryotic LSU rRNA
Rfam family: 5.8S ribosomal RNA (bases 220-373)
Source: RNAcentral